GCAUGCGGACAGCCGCUGCUGCUGCACCGACGGGAGUUUGCUCGAGCUGCAGGCGAGGCGCUGCAAAGCGUUUGGGAUUGGAGCGGGCUUUUCUCCGCUAUCCCCCACAGAGCGGGAAGCGGUGCUACCCCGCACGUGAGACGGGAGGGCUUUGCUGCCAGGAGAGACACGCAGCUCAGCCUCUGGGAGCGCCUCUCCAGAAAACGGCAGGAUAAGAUUUAUUUUAUUUUAUUUAUUUUUCCCUCCGUGUAAUAGCAGGGCUGGGGAAGGCCGGAUGUGGUGGUGAUUUACGGGAGACGAGAAACGUCUGGGUGCCUCCCUGCCCGGUGAGCGGUGUGCAAGCAACAGUGAGCAAAGCAGGACACAGAUUUCUUGGGAGACCAAGCUGUACAAGUUGUAAAGAAUUUUAUGGGUGAAAAAUGGGGCAAGUGGAAGUGUAGAAGAUUUUGCUCAGGAGAACAGCCUGGUUAACUGAACUCGGAAUGCUCAAAGUGCCUAAUUAAUGGCAAAAUAACUGUCUACACAAGUGAGACCGGAGUCAGUAGUAACCAGUGAAAAGAUAAACUCCAAGUCUAAAGUUUGGGAUGGACAUCUAACUGUGCCCAGGAUAGACACUGUUCAUACUCUGAAGACUGCCCAAGCUUCUGGAGCUCAUUUCUAAGAUUUUUGAAGCCAAAAGUCAGGUAGCUGAAUGAAAAACAUGAAGCUUACUCCAAUGUUCUGCAGAAAGCCAUGGUAGAGAGCAGGAACAUUUUGUUUCUUUUGUAGUUUUUGAAUGACUGAAUAAUGCUUACUAUAAAUAAUUCAUUUGCAAGAGAAGGAAACUAAAAGAUCAUAGCUAAGGCCAAUUUGUUGUUUUCUAAGAGGGUGCUUCCAGUUGCAUCAAGCAGCACUGAUUAUGUUGUUUUUUUUAAUUGUAAUAAUUUUAUCAGAAUUAAUUUCAGCUGUAAUUCCAUGUCUUGCUAGUGUAUGGUCAUACAGAGCAUUUCUCAUGGAUGGAAUUAGAGCCAUUCUAGCAAAUCACUCCUGGCUCCUGUGAACUUAUUAGAGUGGGCCGCAGUGUAUCUUGAUUAACAGUGUCAAAAGGUUCAGAGAGAUGUGAAAGGGUGAGAGCAGUGUCUGCUUAUCAUCUGUUGAGAUUAGGAGACCAUCUGUUAGUGCUGCUAUAGUGGUGUCUGCCUGGAGCCUGGUCUGAAGCCAGGCUGUAGUAGGUACGAUAUGGUGGAUUCAACUGCAGGCUCUUGGCUCACUUUUAUCUAAUUUUUAUGAUCCUUAAUCAAAAUGAUACUCAGUAAGAGUACGUGGAUCACAGCCAAACUGUUGUUCCUUUUAUAAAGAAAAACUACCCACUUAAUGGAAAUGCAUGUUUGGAAGGAAAAAAAAGAAUAUUUUAUCUCCCAAACAGACAUUACCUGUUCUAACUAGCUAUUUGUAAGAGAACAAGGCAGGCAGCAUGUUCCUUGGAAUACACCCUGAGCUCCUGGAGCUGUGGCUUUGGACCUGUUUGAGCCAAAGGUUGGCAUCUUUGAAUCUUUUUUUCUGUGGAUUUUUCUUCUGUAAAAUCCAAGUAAUUUCUUGAAGGGUAAGAAGGUGAGGCAAUGAGAAGGUGAAAAUUUAUAAAAUGGUUUCAUAAUUAUCAGUUCCCUUCAAUAUCACAUCUUCAGACAAAUUCUUGUGUAAAAAAUGAAGUUGUACAUAUAGGAAAAGAAGAAUAUUUAAGAAACCAGUUCUUGUGAUCAUACUGAACACCUGUUUAUUUUGCUGAUUCUAUUGAGAACUUCUCCAUGGCAGUACAAUACAUGCUAUGAUAGACCUCUGUAAUGUUUGAUAUUAGAGAAUUUACAGUGCAAGAUGAACUUUUACAUUUCUUGAGAUUCACUUGCUCAUUUUUGAGCUGUAGUUACUGACCACAUUUGCAGCUUAAACAGCUGGAUUUGGCCAGUCCUUCUGUUUCACCUUCUUUGUUUCCAGUGGAAAACAAAGGAAGAAUUUGAAGUAAACAUGAAGUAGCGCAGGAUGACCAAUUUUAACUUUCUUCUAGAGUGCAAGUUGUGAGCAUAUAAUUUUUUUAUCAUAAUACCACUUUUAUUUUCCUUUCCUA
This is a non-coding RNA of Coturnix japonica (Japanese quail), 2101 nucleotides long. Lineage: Eukaryota; Metazoa; Chordata; Aves; Galliformes; Phasianidae. The record is from RefSeq and is a predicted model, not a curated record.